Molecule: long non-coding RNA, 1760 nt
Filed under: Homo sapiens (human)
Lineage: Eukaryota; Metazoa; Chordata; Mammalia; Primates; Hominidae
Description: non-protein coding lnc-GML-2:1
Source: RNAcentral
GAACGCUUGAGCCCAGGAGUUCGAGGCUGCAGUGAGCUGUGAUCACCACUGCACUCCAGCCUGGGUGACAGAGUGAGACCCUGUCUCAAAUCAAAAACCAAUACAAAGAAGAAAAAUGAAAGAAACCGAAAAUGGAGGAAACAGCAACCAAAAUGCCUGUUGACUGGAGAAUGUUUGUGCCCAUGUGGUCCAGGCACAUGCGAGGUGAGUUUUUGCCACUGUGGAGAUGAAUUCUUUCGGGUUCACAUGAAGAUGAGGGUGAUCAACAGUGCAGGGACUCACAGUGCAGCCUUGAAGGGAAAGAGGGAAUGUCGGGAGAUUGUGUCCCACGUGGUUCACAUGCAUUCAGUGAACCGCUUACAAAAGCAGCAAAGGCCAGAGAGAGCGCAAGAUUGGGUGUGGGUGCCUGUGCUGGGGAGGUGGGAAGGUUGGUCUCUGUGAACGUGGGGGAGCGGGGACUUACUGCCCGUGUGGUGGGGCUUGGGUUGGGUGGAGUGUUUGUGACGUCUCAAAGAUAGCGUCUAGGAAAAGGCAGCAGGAUGCCAAGUCUGGAGGCCCCGGAUCAGUGGUGUGGCACAGCGACGUGUGGACAACCUGGUUGGUCCAAAAGACUUAGUCCCAGCAGUGCUAAUCAAUGGGUGUGGGCCUCCCCCAUCUCCACGUGUGGGGCAGCAGAUGAGACGGUGCUUGCCACCUUGUCAAUGGCUGUGAGGACCAAGAGGGAGAUACAGCAGAGCUCAGAGCAGACAAGCAAAGGAAACAUCAAAUGCCAAGGGGAUCUGAAGACUUCCUGCCACAUCUGCAAGAAGUCAGGACUGUGGGUGCUGCCCCGGAGGCUGCUGGGGAGCACAGAGACUCCUCAGGGAGCACGUUGUGUACCUGCAGCCGUCUUCCCCACUGGGCCAUGCAGGUGGCCUGGCACACCCCACAGAGGGCGACUUGGGAUCCUUCUUCAGUCCAUGCUCUGAAGGAGCAAAUGCGUGACUGUCCCUGACCACAAGCAGCCCUCGCACACAGACCCCACCUGCCUCAGCACCCUGCGGCCCUCUCCGCUGGAUUCCUAGACGCCAUGGAGAUGGUAGGAGCUGGUGCAGGAGCUGCAGCCGUCCUCCCUCCUCUAUGCCUUUGCUGUCCCUGAUUCACCCCCAGGGCCCUUCCUGCCCCUGCUGAGUCUGCACCUCAGCCACUUCGCCUCCACCCGGUUCCUUGUCCUCCACCCAGACUGCUGACCUCCGCCCAGCCCGUCGUCCUCCACCCAGCCUGUCAUCCUCUGCCCAGCCCGUCGUCCUCCAACCAGCCCACCGUCCUCCGCUUUCAGAAACGCACAGCUCACUGCCUCAAGCUUGGGCUGGCAUCAGGCUGGCAGCCAGCAGUGGGAGCUUGCCAAUCACUUUGAGAGGGGUCAGCAUGUGAAGAGAUAUCAAAGAUUUCACUACUCGAACCCGUGUCAGAAGCUGACCACACCCCAAGCUAGUCAAGUGUUUAGAACGGAGCCAUAGUCUGAUGGGUGUUUCUGUGGAGGCCUCUCCUGCAGUUCUCUUGAACCUGGCCUGCUGUGUCUCUAUUCCACCUGGUCCCUUGAGAAUCCUCCAGAAGCCAGAUGACUCCUGCAUCCGUCUCCUCCUUCUGUGCUCCAGUCCCUCUCCCUGAGGGCAGCCUAUUGACCAGGUUGCAAGAAGAACCCAGGCUGACUUUCUCUCCAUGGGGCCCUCAUCUGAUCCACUGAAAAUACUCACAUAUCUCCAGUGCCAGCCUCAGAG